UAAUGAGCGUGGUAUAGUAGUAUAGCAUUACAGUACAUCCUUUGUAAAUACACAAGUCUGGAACCUUCAAUAUAACAGUAUAAUGGACAAUUGCAUGCUCUACUGCACAAUCAACUAGUGAAUGAAUGGCUGAUCACACUACCUAUUCUCAAGACCCAAUGGCAUAUGGAGAGAUUGACAAAUGCGGCUCCCCCAACCUACUCUCAAGUGGUGGAGAAUGCUCCUCCGCCAUAUCAACCUACCAAUGCUGCAAUAUUACCUGAAGCUAAAAGUUCACCAACUGUUCUUAUGGCCCCCCAAACAUCAGCCCCAGUUGUCACUGUCACUAGAUUACCGCGGGCACAAGUACAAGAUCUCAAACAAUGCUGUGCACGAUGCUGUGGAGUAUACUGCUCAAUAUUACUCUUCUUUUUGCCACGCCACUAUCACUGUUAGACCUGCCAAGCCUCUACUGUGUUUGUAGUAUGCAUGGAACAAAUUAAUGCAGUAACUAACAUUGUAUAAAAUAUAGUUGUCCUUCUCUUUCCUUCCAGUAACAAUUCAUAUUAACUGUUUACAGUAUGCUUUAUUCAUCAUGGCAAACCACGUUCAUAUCCAUAUACAGUUGACUGUUUACACAAACAUUGCAGAUGCUGCAUGACUACAAGUGCACUAUAUCCUUCCUAAUUCCCAAUAGAAGUUAUUGUUAUUAUAUAAUUAUAACCUGCAAAGUCUAUAUGGAUUAUUCUAUCAAGAGUAUAGUCUUACUAUUGACUAGAUUCUAUAUAAGCUCUAGCUACAAGUAUAUAUAGCUACACACACAGCAUAUACAGUAACUUUAUCAUGUCAGACAAAGAUUCCAAUAUUAGAUCUACUCAACAAGAUGAGUCCCAAGAUGAGACUCAGAGUUACCCAAUGGAGAGUUGUGGUUGUAACUCCUCCACAACCAUCACCUGACACACAAUUAUUACAAAAUGCAGUACAAAGUCAAGUGGAAAUCAAAUUAUUCUCUGCAGUAUUCUGCUCACUAAUACUCUUCUUUUUGGCCACACCGCUCUCACUGUUAGUCACCCUGCCAAGCAUCUACUGUAUUUGUAAGGCCAAGUAUGAUGUGAAACGUGGGAAGGUGUCCAAAGCACGUCAGGAAUCAGUAACUGGUUGUAAGAUUAUUGCAAUCACUGUAAUUGUCACCUUAACUAUCUUUCCAUCACUAAUGAUACCACUUAUAUUUUUAGUUUUUUUGUAACUGUAUACAGUAUCAGAUGUGCACGCACGCUAGUUUAUUUCUCUGCAGUACUUCAUAUAUAUAUAUAUACAAGCUGUCAUUAUGACAUGCAACAUCAUUGUCACGUUUAUGUUCCGUAUUAUUUGUAUCAACAAAGAGAAUGUGUACUGCACUCUGAGUUGAACUGCUGAUACACGCAAUGAACCAUCUUGACUUUAUUAACCUCA
Halichondria panicea is the source of this 1431-nucleotide long non-coding RNA. RefSeq lists it as uncharacterized. The record is from RefSeq and is a predicted model, not a curated record. The transcript has 3 exons. NCBI's taxonomy places the organism in Eukaryota, Metazoa, Porifera, Demospongiae, Suberitida, Halichondriidae.